RNAcentral lists this ribosomal RNA (252 nucleotides) under uncultured bacterium. RNAcentral describes it as "partial 16S ribosomal RNA". It matches the Rfam family "Bacterial small subunit ribosomal RNA", at positions 333 to 577 of the family's 1533-position model. The record is from RNAcentral.
GGUGGCCUACGGGACGCAGCAGUAGGGAAUCUUCCACAAUGGACGAAAGUCUGAUGGAGCAACGCCGCGUGAGUGAAGAAGGGUUUCGGCUCGUAAAGCUCUGUUGGUAGUGAAGAAAGAUAGAGGUAGUAACUGGCCUUUAUUUGACGGUAAUUACUUAGAAAGUCAAGGCUAACUACGUGCCAGCAGCCGCGGUAAUACGUAGGUGGCAAGCGUUGUUAGGAAUAACUGGGCGUAAAGGAUGCGUAGGCG